Long non-coding RNA from Astyanax mexicanus (Mexican tetra), 908 nucleotides. RefSeq lists it as uncharacterized. The record is from RefSeq and is a predicted model, not a curated record. NCBI's taxonomy places the organism in Eukaryota, Metazoa, Chordata, Actinopteri, Characiformes, Acestrorhamphidae. The transcript has 2 exons.
UCUGUAGUACCCGCUCUGUCCGCUGGGUGGUGCUGGUGGCGCGCUCCGCUCUGCCGCUGGUUUCCAGUGUGUCGUUCGGUUGUUUAUGGCUUCCUGUGAGAAGCUCAGUAAACAUUAGCCUGGCUUGUGUUUUAUAAGGAGAACUACUUACAGCUUUACCCUAGUAAGAAAAUCAGAGCCGACACAGACAUGAUUUAUGUGAGCCAACGCUGUCUGGACAGGAUAUAUUCCGCUAUCCUGCUGGCCGUCGUUGUCCUGUCCUGGGGCUUUGUGAUCUAUGGCACCCGCGUUGCAGCGCAGUGGGAGCUGGAGAAGAGAGUAAAGACGUGAAGAGCAGCACUGCAGAAUCAAAACACACAACGUUCCUCACAGAGGAAUGAACUGGAACUUGAAACACCAUCCAAACUGUUGCUGAAAGUUUGUGCUAAUUCUGCUCAGUCAGUGCCUUCAUGUUACUUCUUGCAUCUCGUUCCUGCAGUGGAAGAGUGGAAGCUCCAGCUGUGACCUACAGUAAAUCCAGCAUCCUGUAUCAAACAAAAAUCCUGCCGUGGUUUUUGGAGACAUAUUUUUGCCAUGGAACGCCCUGCAUGUACCUCUCUACUUAGAUUGGAAAAGUGUUUGAGACCAAAUGCUUUCCAAGUCUGUGGCUGAACAGUGUCUUGGGCAUUAGGCUGUGCAUUCAUAAACACUUUGUUUAGUAGUAUUAAUAAUAUAUGGGAAGAAGCUGUUUCCACUACUGGUUCCAUUCAUUGCCAUUGUGAACAAUUGUGGCUUUGUCUAUAUUUUUAUCUAUGAGCUCUGUAUGAGAUAUUUUAUUUUGUAGGUGUUACAUUAUUUUAAUGAAAAUACCUGAAUUCUAUUUUAAUAAAAUGCAUAUUAUUUUUCCAACCAUUUGGAAAGCAACCAUA